This 408-nucleotide ribosomal RNA is filed under the name uncultured bacterium. Its description in RNAcentral is "bacterial SSU rRNA". It matches the Rfam family "Bacterial small subunit ribosomal RNA", at positions 976 to 1381 of the family's 1533-position model. The record is from RNAcentral.
UAGCCUUGACAUUGAUUGAACGGACCAGAGAUGGACCGGUGCCUUUCGGGGAACAUGAAAACAGGUGCUGCACGGCUGUCGUCAGCUCGUGUCGUGAGAUGUUGGGUUAAGUCCCGCAACGAGCGCAACCCUCGUCGUUAGUUGCUAACAGGUUAAGCUGAGCACUCUAGCGAGACUGCCUUCGCAAGGAGGAGGAAGGUGAGGACGACGUCAAGUCAUCAUGGCCCUUAUGGCUAGGGCUACACACGUGCUACAAUGGGGCGUACAGAGAGUUGCGAUACCGCGAGGUGGAGCCAAUCUCAUAAAGCGUCUCUCAGUUCGGAUUGUUCUCUGCAACUCGAGAACAUGAAGCUGGAAUCACUAGUAAUCGUAGAUCAGCAAUGCUACGGUGAAUACGUUCCCGGGUCU